UAUAGUCAUUUAUAUUGAUGUCAUUCUUCAGCCAGGGCCUCUAUUUGUUUUUACAGGUUGCACUUUAGUGUAGGACGUCUAGCUGCAGAUGCAGAUACAGCUAACAUUGGUCUACCGGAGCCUGUGAUCAGUAUGUGAGUAGAGAAAUAGGUAAAAAGGAUAAAAAGAGCAGAUUUAUGCCUUUUCAUUAAUUUCUAUUUGCAGGUUUACCUGUUCUGCCAAACGCCUGGCCACUGAGGUCUACCGUCCUUGACAGGUUACUUGGGAUCCCGCUUCUUUUAGUAGCUAAACAUGGAUGGUCAAAGUCUCUAUGGGGGUAGUAUUCUGCAGCCCGGUCAUUUUUGUUUUUGCAUGUUUUUCAUUUUUACAUUUUUGCAUUUUCAUUGAUUUAUUUUUACAGGUCAUGUUCCCUUCACUGGAAAACAUCUGACCACUAUUACUUCAGCCUUGGCAGAUUACUUGGGAGCCUGUUUCCUUUGGAAGGAAUCCUUUUCACUAUGGUAGUAAAAUUCUUCAGCCAGGCAUCUUUGCUUUGCAGGUUGGCCCCCAGUGUAGAAAAAGCCUAGCAGCAAAUGUAGGUAACCUUAGACUGCUAGAGCUUGUGAUUGGUAUGUGAGCAGAGGAGUAGAUGUGCAUAGAAAAGAGAUUUUUCACUACAUAAUCUUUCUUUUUACAGGUUUUCCAUUUUGGCAAACAACUGCUUGCAGUGAUACAUCAGCCUUGGCUGAUAUCAGUGGAUGGAAUAAUUAGUUUUGGUGUUGUCAUUCUUCAGCAAGGGGAUCUUUGUUUUUAUAGGUUGGGCUUUUGGAAGUCUACAAGCAGAUGCAGGUAACAUUGUUAUGUAAUUAGAGAACUAGAUGUAGGACUGAUUCUUUAGCCUUUUCUUUACAUCUUUGUUUUGCAGGUUGGUUCCCAGUGUACAAAACGUCUAGCAGCACAUGCAUGUAAUCUUAGACUACUGGAGCUGUAACUAAAUAGGAGUAAAUGAGAUUUCGUUAUCAAUGUGUCAUUACAGGUUAUCUUCGGAAAACUUCUGGCAUCUGUGAUACUUCAGCUUUGGCAGGUUACUUGGGAUCCUACUUCUUUUGGUGGGUAUGAGUGGAUUUACAAAAUCACUUCUGUGUUAUUUUACAUCAGGGCAUCUUUGUUUUUUGCAGGUUGGGCUUUGGUGUAGGAAAUCUAGCAGCAGAUGAUGGUAACCUUGAACUGCUGGAGCCUGGGAUAUGUGAACAGAGGAACGGAUGUGCAUGAAUUAAGACAGAUUCUUCAGCCUUUUCGUGUUUUGGAAAAUAUUGCUGUGAUACUUAAGCCUUGACCUCUUUCCUGGGAUCCUAUUUCAUUUGGUAAUUGAUGUAGAAAUGUAUUUUUGUGUUGUCAUUCUUCAUCUUCAAUGUUUUUGCAUGUCUUCCUUUUCGGCAAUCUGCCCACUGUGUGGUACUUCAGCCUUGGAAUUUUACUUGGGGUCCUGUUUCCUUUGGUAGGUAUCGGGGUGUGACCAAUUUACUGUUAUUGUUUUAUUCUUUAGCCCAUGCAUCUUUCUUUCCAGGUUGGCCCCCAUUGUAGAAAAGGUCUAGUAGCAGAUGCAGGUCAUAUUGGACUGUUGGAGACUGUGAUUGGCAUGUGAGUAAAGGAAUAGAUGUACAUGAAUUAAGAGAUUCUGCAGCCUUUUCAUUUAUCUAUUUACAGGUUUUUGCAAUUAGGCAAAUCUCACUUUGAUCCUUCAGACUUGGCAUCUUACAUGAGAUAAUACAUCCUUUGGUAGGUAUGAGUGGAUGGAAUAAUUUAUUUUGGUGUUAUUCUUCAGCAAAGGGGGACUUCAGGAAGUCUAGCAGCACAGAUGCAGGUAACAUUGUUCUGCUGUGAUUGUUAUGUAAGUAGAGGAAUAAGGGGGUGUGUGUGUGUUUCUUCAGCCAUUUUCACUGAUUUUAUUUAAUUUUUUCCAGGUUUUCCUGUGCCGGCAAACAUCUGGCCACUGCUACUUCAGUUUCAGCAUUUUACUUGGAACUCUGUUCUACUCAUACAUACCAAAAGAAACGUUGCAGUAUUCUUUUCUUAAGGGCUGGUAUUUUUGUUUUUACAGAUUUUCCCCAUCUGCAAAUCUGCUGUGGUACUUCUGCCUUGGCACGUUUUAUGGGGGUGGUGUUUUUCUUCAACCCAGUCAUCUGUUUUUCAAAGGUGUGGGUUUCUUUUUUUUUUUUACCACCUGCCGUGGUACUUAAGCCUUGCAUCUUACUUGGGAUGCUUUUUUUUUUUUUUUUUUGUAGGUACAGUAUAUGUGAACGGACAAUGUCACUAUACUGGUAUUGUGGUUUAGCUCUUUUUAUAUGUAUUGGUUUUCCUGAUUUAGCAAUGUCACUGUGGCUUCAGCCUUGGAAUGGUACUUGGAUUCCACUUUCCUUUGGUAGGUAUCAGGGGGUGACCAAUUCAUUACGGUGGUAUUUUAUUCUUCAGCCCAUGCAUCUUUCGGUUUUACAGGUAUUCAUGGUUUUGUCACUUCACCUUUGCCUUAGGAUCAGUGGUAGGUAUCGGUGGAUGACCAAUUUACUAUGGCGGUAAUCUUCAAUUAUGGCAUCUUUCUUUUACAGGUUUUCCUGGUUUGGCAAAUGUGGUUGCCCUGUUUAAUUUGGUAGGUAUCGGUGGAGGGCCCAGUUCACUAUGGUGUCUUUCAGCCCAGGCAUCUUUCUUUUGUAGGUUGAGUGUAAAGUCUAGCAGCAGAUGAAAGUAACCUUGGACUGCUGGAGCCUGUGAUUGGUAUGUAAGUAGCGGAGUAGAUGUGCAUGAAUUUAGAUUCUUCAGCCAUUUUAUGUAUCUAAUUUUACAGGCUUUUGCAGUUUGGCAAAUAUUGCUGUGAUACAUCAGCCUUUGCAUCAUACAUGGGGUCCCAUUUCCAGUGAUAGGUAGGAGUAGAUUGAGGAAUUUAUCUUGGUGUUCGUUCAUCAGCUAGAGCAUCUUUGUUUUUACAGGUUGUGCCUGAAGUCUAGCAGCAGAUGCAAGUAACCUUGGACAGCCGGAGUUUACAAUUAAUAUGUGAGUGGAGGUAUAUAUGUGCACAGAUAAGAAUCUUCAGACUGGUAUCCAUUUUGUUUUUACAGGCUUUUGGUUUGAAUAACUUCCUGAUCCUGUGGUACCUCAGCCUUGACAUUUUACUUGGGAUCCUAUUUCCUUUGGUAGGCAUGAGUGGAUGGGGUACGGGGGGGGGCACCAACAGGGGCGGCCUCGGGGUGCCCAGAAGAGAAAUCCGGCCCUGUGUCUGGCCAUUGUAGUAUUCCCUUCUUGGCAUUUUACAUGGGAUUCUGUUUUGGUAGGUAUGAGUGGAUGUACAAUGUUAGUAUUUUGUUUUUACAGAUGUUCCUUGUUUAGAAAACAUAUGGCUGCUGUGGUCUAUUUGUGGCAGGUUGUGAUCCCGUAGGUAUCAUUGGAUGGCCUAAUUCACUAUGGUGGUGGUAUCCUUCAUCCAUACCAUCUUUAUUUUGCAGGUUGGUCUUCAGUGUAGCUAAAGUCUAGCUGCACAUGCAUGUAAUCUUGAAAUGCCAGAGCAAAUGACCUGUAUGUAAGUAAAGGAAUAGGUGGAGAUGUGCAUUGAUCAGAUAUUUCCAAUCAUUAUCAAUUUGUUUUUACAGGUUAUCUGUAGUACUUUCACUCACUUUGAUGGUGUCAUUUUGCCUCCAGGGGUUUCUUCAUUAUUUACAGGUUGGGCUUUGAUGUAGGAAGUCCAGCAGCAGAUGGUGGUAGCCUUGGACUGCUAGAGCCUGUAAUUGAUGUUGGUCCCCGGUAUAGAAAAGGUCUAGUAGCAGAUGCAGGUCGGCUUGGACUGCUGGAGCCUGUGACCAGUGUGUGAAUAAUGGCAUUGAUGUGCAUGAAUGAGUGAUUCUUCUGUCCCCUGUUUUACUUACAGGUAAUUCGAUGGGAUAUCUUAGUGUUGUCAUUCUUUAGCUAGGGCAUCUUUAUUUUCAUGUAUGAGUGACAACACCCAAAAUUUCUCCAUCCUUCACCCACUGUGGUACUUCUGCCUUGGAAUUUUACUUAUGGUCCUGUUUCCUUUGGUAGGUAUUGGGGUAUGACAAAGUCACUAUGUUUGUGUUUUUUAUUCUUCAGCCCAUGCAUCUUAUUACAGAUAUUCCUGGUUUGUUGCUCUUGUACUUCAGCUUUGGCAGGUUUUGCAGGUUGGUCCCCAGUGCAGAAAGUCUAGCAACACAUGCAUGUAAACUUGGACUGCUGGAGCUUGUAACUGGUAUGUUAAUAGAAGCAGAUGAGAUUUUGUUAACAAUGUUAUUACAGGUGCUUCAGCUUUGGCAGUUUGCUUGGGAUUUUACUUUUGGGUAGGUAUGAGUGGAUUUACAAAAUAACUUCUGCAUUCAGGGCUUUGAUUUCUGCAGAUUGGGCUUUGGUGUAGGAAGUCGAGCAGCAGACGCAUGUAACUUUGGCCUACUGGAGCUGAAUGAUAUGUGAGUAAAGUGAUCAUCCUUAGCAUCUUACUUGGGAUUCUAUUUGCUGUGAUAGGUAUGAAUAGAUCAAGUAUUUUACUUUGGUUUUGUCACUCUA
Molecule: long non-coding RNA, 4542 nt
Organism: Xenopus tropicalis (tropical clawed frog)
Lineage: Eukaryota; Metazoa; Chordata; Amphibia; Anura; Pipidae
Exons: 3
Source: RefSeq, a predicted model, not a curated record